AGUGAACGCUGGCGGUAGGCCUAACACAUGCAAGUCGAACGGCAGCACAGUAAGAGCUUGCUCUUACGGGUGGCGAGUGGCGGACGGGUGAGGAAUACAUCGGAAUCUACUUUUUCGUGGGGGAUAACGUAGGGAAACUUACGCUAAUACCGCAUACGACCUACGGGUGAAAGCAGGGGAUCUUCGGACCUUGCGCGAUUGAAUGAGCCGAUGUCGGAUUAGCUAGUUGGCGGGGUAAAGGCCCACCAAGGCGACGAUCCGUAGCUGGUCGGAGAGGAUGAUCAGCCACACUGGAACUGAGACACGGUCCAGACUCCUACGGGAGGCAGCAGUGGGGAAUAUUGGACAAUGGGCGCAAGCCUGGUCCAGCCAUACCGCGUGGGUGAAGAAGGCCUUCGGGUUGUAAAGCCCUUUUGUUGGGAAAGAAAAGCAGCAGGUUAAUACCCCGCUGUUCUGACGGUACCCAAAGAAUAAGCACCGGCUAACUUCGUG
RNAcentral lists this ribosomal RNA (492 nucleotides) under uncultured bacterium. Its description in RNAcentral is "partial 16S ribosomal RNA". It matches the Rfam family "Bacterial small subunit ribosomal RNA", at positions 29 to 507 of the family's 1533-position model. The record is from RNAcentral.